This 77-nucleotide transfer RNA is filed under the name Trichonephila inaurata madagascariensis. Its description in RNAcentral is "tRNA-Arg". It matches the Rfam family "tRNA". From Rfam's summary of the family: Transfer RNA (tRNA) molecules are approximately 80 nucleotides in length. Their secondary structure includes four short double-helical elements and three loops (D, anti-codon, and T loops). The record is from RNAcentral. Lineage: Eukaryota; Metazoa; Arthropoda; Arachnida; Araneae; Nephilidae.
GACCCUGUAGCGCAUUGAAAAGCGCGUUGGACUUCUACUCGAAAAAUCGUGGGUUCGAAUCCCACCUGGGAUGGCCU